CUCUUGGGGGCAAUCCCAGGUAAUCUCUGCCCUAUGAAUUAUUUUAAUGGCCGCAGUAUCUUGACUGUGCAAAGGUAGCAUAAUCAUUUGCUUCUUAAUUAGGAGCUGGAAUGAAAGAGGCGACGAAAUCUAGACUAUUUAAGUUUUAGUAUAAAUUGACAAGCGGGUCAAAAGGCCCGCAUGCACCAGGGGGACGAUAAGACCCUAUAAAACUUUACUCUCAGGCCGGUGGCUAGCAGGAAGUGGGGUGUUUGAGAGUUUAACUGGGGCGGUUAUUAUAGAAACAAUUAUACAUAAAAUAUAUUAUAUAGAUUGGUAGAACUCUCUAGAGAAAUAGAACAAGUUACUUUAGGGAUAACAGCGUGAUCCCCCCAGAGAGUCCUGAUUGGCGGGGGGGCUUACGACCUCGAUGUUGAAUUGGGAAUUCCUAUAUAAGCAAACAUAUAUAUAGACAGUC
RNAcentral lists this ribosomal RNA (457 nucleotides) under Proasellus walteri. RNAcentral describes it as "partial 16S ribosomal RNA". It matches the Rfam family "Bacterial large subunit ribosomal RNA", at positions 1824 to 2577 of the family's 2925-position model. The record is from RNAcentral. Lineage: Eukaryota; Metazoa; Arthropoda; Malacostraca; Isopoda; Asellidae.